GUGUUCACUUCAGCAGCACAUAUGCUAAAAUUGGAACACUGCAGGGAAGAUUAGCAUGGCUUCUGUGCAAGGAUGACAUGCAAAUUCAUGUUGUGUUCCAUAUUUUU
This 107-nucleotide small nuclear RNA is filed under the name Choloepus hoffmanni (Hoffmann's two-fingered sloth). Lineage: Eukaryota; Metazoa; Chordata; Mammalia; Pilosa; Megalonychidae. The record is from RNAcentral.